Molecule: unclassified non-coding RNA, 374 nt
Filed under: uncultured fungus
Lineage: Eukaryota; Fungi
Description: partial contains 5.8S ribosomal RNA, internal transcribed spacer 2, and large subunit ribosomal RNA
Source: RNAcentral
AACGCACAUUGCGCUCUCUGGUAUUCCGGAGAGCAUGCCCGUUUCAGAAUCAGCAAAUCAUCCUCAGACGGUCUGGUUUGGCUCGCAAGGGCCGCAUCGGAACGACUGGACUUUGGACGUGUCGUUUCUCACCCCAGAGAAACUCGUCUCAAACCCAUGGGAAAUGCUGAGGUGGCCAUUCAAUGGACCUUGCGGAGCAGCAACAGUAGCCCCAAUCUUGGGAUUUCUUUUUCUCUCUGUAUCGAUCCAGGCAUCUCGUGUUCAAUCACAAGGCCUUUCCGAACCGCCUUCUCAGAGAGGCAAUCUUUUUUGGGCUCGUCUCAAAAGAGAAAGAACUUGGUCUGAAAUCGGGCAAGAAAACCCGCUGAACUUAA